RNAcentral lists this ribosomal RNA (428 nucleotides) under uncultured bacterium. RNAcentral's name for it is "bacterial SSU rRNA". It matches the Rfam family "Bacterial small subunit ribosomal RNA", at positions 917 to 1344 of the family's 1533-position model. The record is from RNAcentral.
GGGCCCGCACAAGCGGUGGAGCAUGUGGUUUAAUUCGAUGCAACGCGAAGAACCUUACCUACUCUUGACAUCCUGCGAAUUCGGUAGAGAUACCUUAGUGCCUUCGGGAACGCAGAGACAGGUGCUGCAUGGCUGUCGUCAGCUCGUGUUGUGAAAUGUUGGGUUAAGUCCCGUAACGAGCGCAACCCUUGUCCUUAUUUGCCAGCACGUAAUGGUGGGAACUCUAAGGAGACUGCCGGUGACAAACCGGAGGAAGGUGGGGACGACGUCAAGUCAUCAUGGCCCUUACGAGUAGGGCUACACACGUGCUACAAUGGCCGGUACAAAGGGUUGCCAACUCGCGAGAGUGAGCUAAUCCCGAAAAGCCGGUCUCAGUCCGGAUCGGAGUCUGCAACUCGACUCCGUGAAGUCGGAAUCGCUAGUAAUCG